This 388-nucleotide unclassified non-coding RNA is filed under the name fungal sp. Its description in RNAcentral is "partial internal transcribed spacer region". The stretch from base 1 to 46 matches the Rfam family "Eukaryotic small subunit ribosomal RNA", at positions 1786 to 1831 of the family's 1831-position model. The record is from RNAcentral. Lineage: Eukaryota; Fungi.
AAGUCGUAACAAGGUUUCCGUAGGUGAACCUGCGGAAGGAUCAUUAACACUUUUUUUGAAAGCAUCCAAUAUCAACAAAUCACAACCAAACGGUCAACUAUCUCCUCCCUAUUUCGCACACCGGAGACGGUACGAGUAGGCUAACAUGUAAAUAACAAGCUCAAGCUCAAGCAAUUGCGCAUGCGCAUGUUAUUUUCAAACAUAAGAUAACCCCUUUUAAUUAUAUUAUUCAUUUAAUAUAAACGAACAACUCUUCGAAUUUGCCCUUCAUUUUCACAAUGAAGAACAAAAACGAACUAAACUAAAAUAUACAUUCGAUAUAUUUUUAUUUUACGAAAUAAUAUUAUAUUUAUAAGAACAACUCUUAGCAAUGGAUAUCUUGGUUCUC